This 73-nucleotide transfer RNA is filed under the name Pectinodesmus pectinatus. RNAcentral describes it as "tRNA-Ala". Lineage: Eukaryota; Viridiplantae; Chlorophyta; Chlorophyceae; Sphaeropleales; Scenedesmaceae. The record is from RNAcentral.
UGGAAAUUUUGGGAGUUGAACCCAAGGCCCCGUGCUUGCAAAACACGUGCUCUACCAACUGAGCUAAAUUCCC